Molecule: ribosomal RNA, 759 nt
Filed under: Escherichia coli
Lineage: Bacteria; Pseudomonadati; Pseudomonadota; Gammaproteobacteria; Enterobacterales; Enterobacteriaceae
Description: partial 23S ribosomal RNA
Rfam family: Bacterial large subunit ribosomal RNA
Source: RNAcentral
GGGACACGUGGUAUCCUGUCUGAAUAUGGGGGGACCAUCCUCCAAGGCUAAAUACUCCUGACUGACCGAUAGUGAACCAGUACCGUGAGGGAAAGGCGAAAAGAACCCCGGCGAGGGGAGUGAAAAAGAACCUGAAACCGUGUACGUACAAGCAGUGGGAGCACGCUUAGGCGUGUGACUGCGUACCUUUUGUAUAAUGGGUCAGCGACUUAUAUUCUGUAGCAAGGUUAACCGAAUAGGGGAGCCGAAGGGAAACCGAGUCUUAACUGGGCGUUAAGUUGCAGGGUAUAGACCCGAAACCCGGUGAUCUAGCCAUGGGCAGGUUGAAGGUUGGGUAACACUAACUGGAGGACCGAACCGACUAAUGUUGAAAAAUUAGCGGAUGACUUGUGGCUGGGGGUGAAAGGCCAAUCAAACCGGGAGAUAGCUGGUUCUCCCCGAAAGCUAUUUAGGUAGCGCCUCGUGAAUUCAUCUCCGGGGGUAGAGCACUGUUUCGGCAAGGGGGUCAUCCCGACUUACCAACCCGAUGCAAACUGCGAAUACCGGAGAAUGUUAUCACGGGAGACACACGGCGGGUGCUAACGUCCGUCGUGAAGAGGGAAACAACCCAGACCGCCAGCUAAGGUCCCAAAGUCAUGGUUAAGUGGGAAACGAUGUGGGAAGGCCCAGACAGCCAGGAUGUUGGCUUAGAAGCAGCCAUCAUUUAAAGAAAGCGUAAUAGCUCACUGGUCGAGUCGGCCUGCGCGGAAGAUGUAACGG